Molecule: long non-coding RNA, 481 nt
Organism: Sorghum bicolor (sorghum)
Lineage: Eukaryota; Viridiplantae; Streptophyta; Magnoliopsida; Poales; Poaceae
Exons: 4
Source: RefSeq, a predicted model, not a curated record
UUCCGAAAAUAAUAAAAUACAAUCCUCUUCCAACUUGGCUUUUAACCUAGCACAUAUAAAUACAUGCCUACGUUUCUCUCUUUGAUAUAUCUGAGCCGCCGCCAAAAUUCUCCUGUUCCCGGCGCAUCUGCCCUUCGUUCCUGUGACAUUGAAAAGUCGACGCCGAGCAAAGUAUGGAGAAAUCGAUUGAGUGCCAUGAGCAAGUCGAUCACGUGCUGUCGUUCUUUGCUGGAGAGGCAUAACCGAUCCUCCGAGCUUAGUGUUGUAGAGCCGCUCCAGCGUCUGGCCAUCCAUGCCGUGUGUGUUCUGCUCCGCUCCGAAUCUUGCAGGGCUUAUGCUGGCCACCACCCUUCUUGAUGUUUGACGAGCAGCUUGUUUGGAAAUUGCUGUCGCUAGCUUUCAGACGAGAACUGUUUAUGAGUGCUGAUGAUCAGAAGAUGAUGAUUAAAGGCUCAUGGUGUGAGAAUUGAGCAAGUUUAAG